AGGACGAACGCUGGCGGCGUGCUUAACACAUGCAAGUCGAACGAUGACCUCCAGCUUGCUGGGUGAUUAGUGGCGAACGGGUGAGUAACACGUGAGUAACCUGCCCUCCACUCUGGGAUAAGCACUGGAAACGGUGUCUAAUACCGGAUACGAGCUUCCGCCGCAUGGGUGAGGAGCUGGAAAGAAUUUUGGUGGGGGAUGGACUCGCGGCCUAUCAGGUAGUUGGUGAGUAAUGGCUCACAAGCCGACGACGGGUAGCCGGCCUGAGAGGGUGACCGGCCACACUGGGACUGAGACACGGCCCAGACUCCUACGGGAGGCAGGCAGUGGGAAUAUUGGCACAAGUGGGACGAAAGCCUAGGACUGCAGCAACGCCGCGUGAGGGACGACGGCCUUCGGUU
This 401-nucleotide ribosomal RNA is filed under the name uncultured soil bacterium. RNAcentral describes it as "bacterial SSU rRNA". It matches the Rfam family "Bacterial small subunit ribosomal RNA", at positions 26 to 423 of the family's 1533-position model. The record is from RNAcentral.